CACAAGAUAGCUUACACACCAAAGCGUAGGUCUUUAAACCUAAGAAAGUAUAUUUUACUUAUUGUGAA
This 68-nucleotide transfer RNA is filed under the name Xenoturbella hollandorum. Its description in RNAcentral is "tRNA-Lys". Lineage: Eukaryota; Metazoa; Xenacoelomorpha; Xenoturbellidae. The record is from RNAcentral.